Microcebus murinus (gray mouse lemur) is the source of this 1247-nucleotide non-coding RNA. Lineage: Eukaryota; Metazoa; Chordata; Mammalia; Primates; Cheirogaleidae. The record is from RefSeq and is a predicted model, not a curated record.
CUCAGCCUACUGCACUGUUCAGAGCUCCUUACAGCAUUUAUGUCGCUGCACAAAGAGAGACGUGGUGUCGAUCACACCGGAAGCAAAUAACCAUGUCUAACUACCUCAAGUUCAGCACGUGGAAAUUGUCGUGAACUGAGUCUCCUCAGCCUCCGUGCUGACCCUGUGAAUGCAGUGACCCAGCCCAACCAAGGGCCGCUCCAGCUGCUGAGGGUCUGGAGGAGAGCCUGCAGUCAGUCUAUGUGCAAAAUAGAGAUCCCUGCUCAGAAUGGUAUGAUGAUAAAUGCUGUCUACGCCAACUUCCAAGAACAAGGGAAGAUUUCAUCUAGACUAGUUUUAGAAAUUAAGAAACAAUAAAGAAACUGAGGAUCAGAAAUGUGGCCCUGAGAUAAAAAGUGGUGAGAUCCAGGAUAUAAAUCUAGACCCUGUAAUUCUAGAGACUUCAGCAAACCUUUAUGCCUACUGACCUUGAAACUAACCAGAAAAAGUUCUGGAUCCAACCAGUUACACUUGUGUGUUGAAGCAUAGCAUGUGUACUUAAAAAUAUGGCAAUGAUAAGAACAGGUUGAGCUUCCUAAACCAGAAAUUUGGAAGGUUCAAAAAGCUAAAGUUUUUGAGUGCUGACAUGACACCUGGAGUUUCACACAGGACCUCAUGUGAUGGGUCAGAGUCAAAACCCAGCUGCAUAACGCACAGCUUACUCGCGGGCACUCCCGUACUUCCCCACGCGAACACACCCACAAAAGGGAAUGAAUGUGUGCAGGCCACGGGCACCAGUGGCACGUUCCCCACGAUGCUAGCAAAGGGCCAAGACCUGUGUGCAUUGUCUACUGUGGCUGUUUUUUGUUUAUUUCCUGCUCUGUCUGUGAAGAUAUAUUACAAUGCUCAAAAUGCCUGCAGAUACUCUUAUGGAUAAUAGUAACAAGAAAAAGAGGAAGCAUUUACAUUUGUCUAUAGCACAGAAAGUCAAUAUUUUGGAGAAACUGGACAGUGCUGAAAGUAUGGAACAUCUUACAGAAAAGUAUAAUGUUGGAAUGAACAACAUAUAUGACCUGAAGAAACAGAAGGAUAAAUAGUUGAAAUUCUACACUGAAUGUGAUAUUCAGAAGAUAAUGAACACCGUGUAAAGGCAAAAACAAAGAUCUUAAUUAUGUAUUGAAAUAGAUGCACAGAUUGUCUAUAUGGGUGGUAGAAAUAUUGACACCUUUGCUUUCUGAUGGUUCAAUAUAUGGAAAUGUUUCAUGUAA